Molecule: ribosomal RNA, 426 nt
Filed under: uncultured bacterium
Lineage: Bacteria
Description: bacterial SSU rRNA
Rfam family: Bacterial small subunit ribosomal RNA
Source: RNAcentral
CUGGAAACGGAGAUUAAUACCUGAUAGCGCAGGGUCCCCCGCAUGGGGGAAAUUGCUAAAGAUUUAUCGCUAUGAGAUUGGGAUGCGUCCUAUUAGCUAGUUGGCGGGGUAAAAGCCCACCGAGGCUACCAUAGGUAGCUGGUCUGAGAGGAUGAUCAGCCACACGGACACUGAGACACGGGUCCGACUCCUACGGGAGGCAGCAGUAAGGAAUAUUGGUCAAUGGGCGCAAGCCUGAACCAGCCAUGCCGCGUGCAGGAAGAAGGCCCUCUGGGUUGUAAACUGCUUUUGCUUGGGGAUAAAGGCAUGCUAUACCCAUGUUUGAAGGUACCAAGAGAAUAAGCCACGGCUAACUACGUGCCAGCAGCCGCGGUAAUACGUAGGUGGCAAGCGUUGUCCGGAUUUAUUGGGUUUAAAGGGUGCGUA